UUGGCUUUGGAUUUUAUCUUGCUCAUGGACUUAUUGACAAACCCCUUUGUCCUCCCUCUUACUAUCAUCAUAGUUGUAAUGGUGCUAUCACUUUCUCAAGUUGAUCAGUAAUUGGGUUUUGCUGUGCUGAGGUGCUUCUGCCUGUAAAUGGGACCAACAUCACUUUGUGAAGUGUAUGCAAUCUAAAUGAUAGGAAAUCAGGUGGAAAUGGAAUGUGGGCUAAAUUAUUUUGGGAAUUAAAAGGAUCCUGCCAAACACAUUUAAAUCUUCAUUUUUUUAGCUGGCUGGAUGUUUGCAACCCGCCAAAUAAAAUUAGCCUGGAGUUCAAUGCCCUUAAAAUUGAACUUGUAUGCUUUACAACUUAUCUGGU
RNAcentral lists this unclassified non-coding RNA (370 nucleotides) under Hevea brasiliensis (rubber tree). Lineage: Eukaryota; Viridiplantae; Streptophyta; Magnoliopsida; Malpighiales; Euphorbiaceae. The record is from RNAcentral.